AGGAAAUGUUACAUGUGUCUAGCAUGGAGAGAAGUUGUCCAUGCAUAGUGACACAUGGGGGUGGUCAACCACACCACCAAUAAUAUUUCUACAACAGUUUAUUUUUUUUUUCUCAGCCUUAUCUGCUGUAACAGAUCCAGUUUUAUUCUCCGCCAUUUUUUCUUCCUUCUGUUCUGUUCCUCUUUUCCUCUUCUCUGUCAUUUUCAAGAGACUGAAUUAAGAGAGGAUUCAUAGAAAAUUAAUAUUGAUGUGUUUUUGGGAGAGAGUUGUUGAUGGAGCCAUAGUUGAUUGAACACAGAACUGUGUUGAUGGAGAGAGUUCUAAGCAAAAUGUGAUGUUUUUACAUAUAAGAAUGAGAAUCGAUGAUGGAGAUAUAGAUCAGGGAAUGGAUGGAAUCAGGAAUAGUUGAUGGUCAUGUUGUCGAUCCGUCUGUUGAUUCGAAAUCAACAGAAAGAUAAAGAGGAUGAGAUAAUAGUGGUGGUUCAAAGAAGAUUUGAUGUUGUUACAAGUUACGGUUAGUGAUUGCAUUUGGGUUCAGUAACAUAAGUGAUAUCGAAGGUUUUCACUGUUCCAGUUUUCCAAUUAGAAUUGCUGGAGAAAUCAAGUCUUUCUCGACGGAAGGAUGGGUUGCACCAAAAAUCUCUAGAAGGGCUGAAAAGUUCAUGCUCUACAUUCUUAAUGCUGGGAAGAAAGCUCUGGAUGAUGGUGGGAUCUCGGAAGAGGUCAUGAAUGAAUUGGGUAAAACUAGGCCGACGUCUGUCAUUCUUAUCAAAUCCUGAAAAGAGGUGGAGUAAAAUAGGAAAACAUUGUCGUUUUCAUGAAUGAUGACAUCACGCUCAAUGAGGAAAACCCUAGGCCUGGUGUCAUUAUUAACCACCAUAAAGGUUAAGACGUUUAUGCUGGAGUUCCAAAGGAUUAUGUAGGCCGCAAUGUUAUUGCUCACAACUUAUAUUGAGUUCUCCUUGGAAAUAAAACUGUUAUUAAAGGGGUGGUGGAAAGGUCCAAAUGAUCAUAUCUUUAUCUAUUACAGUGAUCAUGGUGGUCCUGGGGUGCUCGGUUAUGUUGGCACGAAGUAUAUUAAUUUGUUGUUCACAUUUUUUCGACUGCAGGGAUGCCAUCGUAUUCUUACCUUUACGCAAAUGAUCUGGUUAAUGUGUUGAAGGAAAAACAUUCUUUAGGAGCAUAUAAAAGCUUGGUGACUUCCUAAUGUUUCUGAUAUGUGUGUUCGACGUUUCUAAGGAGUUUCUUAUAAGAUUACAAAUUUAUGUUGCAUACUUUAUUUUCUAUGAUUCUUGUAGGUGUUCUAUCUCGAAGCUUGUGAAUAUAAAAGUAUUUUUGACGGUAUUCUUCCAAAAGGGUUAAAUAUUUAUGCAACCACAGCAUCAAAUGCAGAAGAGAGCAUUUGGGGAACCUACUGUCCUAGAGAGUUCCCUAGUCCUUCUUCAGAAUAUGUAGCUUGUCUGGGUGAUUCGUAUAGCGUUGCUUGGAUGGAAGAUAGGUUUGCUAUUGUCCCCUCAAUAAGUGAACUUAAACGGGUUACAUUACGACCUUGAUUUUCCUGGUACUGGAUUAUUCCUUAAUUAUAUCUCGGUUAUUAACUUGUGUUGCACUGUGAAUCCAUGAAUAGUGACUACAUAAUUUGCGAAGUGAAACUCUGAAGCAGCAAUAUCAUCUGGUUACAGAAAGGACUCAAAACGCAAAUUUUGCCUAUGGGUCUCACGUAACGCAGUAUGAAGAUCUCGAAGUUAGCAAGGAAGACCUUUUUCUGUACAUGAGUGAUAGAAGCAUUUAUGUGUCUAUUUUGUUCUCAAUAUUCUGUAUUGUUAGACUCGAUUAAGUACUUAUUGUGUUAUUUUGUGUUUUUGUAGAUGUUUUUAGAGAAAUAAGCUCUUACGGCGAUAUUGGCUCGAAAAGUGGUGUUUUACACCCCAGGAUAGAGUACUAAAGGCACCCCAGAAAUGCGCUGGAGGAACCCAGAAAAAAUGCUGAAAACAUCCAAGAAAAAUUACUAUUUACGCCCAAAAAUUACUAUUUGCACCCCACAGCAAGUGCUAAAGGGACACCCGUGCAGGAUUAGGGGGAGGUCAUCUUCUCUUCAAAUUCCAAAAUUAGCAGGAAAACAAGCUUCUUCACUCGAAGAUGUUUUGAUCAGAAUUUGAAGGUGUUUUGGGUAGACUAAAGAGCUAAAACUUCAUGGGUAGAUGUGAUAUGUCCUAACAAAGCUAUUAUGGGUGUUUUUUUGGAUCAUAAUUAGCUUGAAUUGUCGCAAUCAAGAAAUCAGGAAGCACGUUCAAGAAAACGAAUAUCACAGGAUCACAUCAAAUUUAGACGUGUACUCACGUGUUUGGAGAGUGUGGAAUCAAUUAUACAACAUUUAAGAUCAUGUUUGGAGUGUUUAUGCAUCAUUUCAGCGCGUGGAGAGCUAAAUCAGGGAAGAAAAUAUUCCCAGAAUAUUUUUCAUCAAAGCCGAGUAAAGAGAGAAUUAUCUAGAGUUAUGGUGUGAUUAAAUGAGCCUGGGGAGUAUAAAUAGAUUGCUGGUAUCACAUAGAAGGAGGGUCGAGAGUUUGGGGUUGAGAGGAGGGCCAGAGAAGCAGAAAUCACGAGUUUCCCAAACUCUGUUUCUACUGCUGAUGAUGAUGAAGAACACGAAGAACAGACCAGCGAGAACAGUCGUAGCGACAACUGCUGUGGGUCUUAGAAGGCGACAACAACACUUCAGUUUUAUCGUUCUUUUGUGACGCUUUCUGUGGGUCGCACAUUAAUUGUUCUACACCGUUUUCUCUUCUUCUCUCCAUUGUAAACACCAUUUGAGCAAUAAAUAAAUAUUUUGAG
Molecule: long non-coding RNA, 2832 nt
Organism: Papaver somniferum (opium poppy)
Lineage: Eukaryota; Viridiplantae; Streptophyta; Magnoliopsida; Ranunculales; Papaveraceae
Exons: 6
Source: RefSeq, a predicted model, not a curated record